UACGUAGGGUGCGAGCGUUAAUCGGAAUUACUGGGCGUAAAGCGUGCGCAGGCGGUGAUGUAAGACAGGUGUGAAAUCCCCGGGCUUAACCUGGGAACUGCAUUUGUGACUGCAUCGCUGGAGUGCGGCAGAGGGGGGAUGGAAUUCCACGUGUAGCAGUGAAAUGCGUAGAGAUGUGGAGGAACACCGAUGGCGAAGGCAGCCCCCUGGGCCGACACUGACGCUCAGGCACGAAAGCGUGGGGAGCAAACAGG
This 254-nucleotide ribosomal RNA is filed under the name uncultured bacterium. RNAcentral describes it as "partial 16S ribosomal RNA". It matches the Rfam family "Bacterial small subunit ribosomal RNA", at positions 524 to 776 of the family's 1533-position model. The record is from RNAcentral.